RNAcentral lists this ribosomal RNA (492 nucleotides) under uncultured bacterium. RNAcentral's name for it is "partial 16S ribosomal RNA". It matches the Rfam family "Bacterial small subunit ribosomal RNA", at positions 29 to 507 of the family's 1533-position model. The record is from RNAcentral.
AGUGAACGCUGGCGGUAGGCCUAACACAUGCAAGUCGAACGGCAGCACAGUAAGAGCUUGCUCUUACGGGUGGCGAGUGGCGGACGGGUGAGGAAUACAUCGGAAUCUACUUUUUCGUGGGGGAUAACGUAGGGAAACUUACGCUAAUACCGCAUACGACCUACGGGUGAAAGCAGGGGAUCUUCGGACCUUGCGCGAUUGAAUGAGCCGAUGUCGGAUUAGCUAGUUGGCGGGGUAAAGGCCCACCAAGGCGACGGUCCGUAGCUGGUCUGAGAGGAUGAUCAGCCACCCUGGAACUGAGACACGCUCCAGACUCCUACGGGAGGCAGCAGUGGGGAAUAUUGGACAAUGGGCGCAAGCCUGAUCCAGCCAUACCGCGUGGGUGAAGAAGGCCUUCGGGUUGUAAAGCCCUUUUGUUGGGAAAGAAAAGCAGCAGGUUAAUACCCCGCUGUUCUGACGGUACCCAAAGAAUAAGCACCGGCUAACUUCGUG